CUACGGAGGGUGCGAGCGUUAUCCGGAUUUAUUAGGUUUAAAGGGUGUGUAGGCGGGAGCCUAAGUCAGUGGUGAAAUCUCACAGCUUAACUGUGAAACUGCCAUUGAAACUGGGUUUCUUGAGUAUAGUUGAGGUAGGCGGAAUGUGUAAUGUAGCGGUGAAAUGCAUAGAUAUUACACAGAACACCGAUUGCGAAGGCAGCUUACUAAGCUAUUACUGACGCUGAUGUACGAAAGCGUGGGUAGCGAACAGGAUUAGAAACCCCAGUAGUCC
Molecule: ribosomal RNA, 274 nt
Filed under: uncultured bacterium
Lineage: Bacteria
Description: partial 16S ribosomal RNA
Rfam family: Bacterial small subunit ribosomal RNA
Source: RNAcentral